UAGAGGCCUACCAUGGUGGUAACGGGUAACGGGGUGUUAGGGCACGACAUCGGAGAGGGAGCCUGAGAAACGGCUACCACAUCCAAGGAUGGCAGCAGGCGCGCAAAUUACCCAAUCCCGACACGGGGAGGUAGUGACAAUAAAUAACAAUACGGGGUUCUUUCGGAUCUCGUAAUUGGAAUGAGUACAAUUUAAAUCUCUUAACGAGGGACAAUUGGAGGGCAAGUCUGGUGCCAGCAGCCGCGGUAAUUCCAGCUCCAAUAGCGUAUAUUAGAGUUGUUGCAGUUAAAAAGCUCGUAGUUGAAUUUCGGGGUUAGUAGGUUGGUCAUGCCUCUGGUAUGUACUGGUCUCACUGAUUCCUCCUUCCUUAUGAACCGUAAUGCCAUUAAUUUGGUGUUGCGGGGAACUUGGACUGUUACUUUGAAAAAAUUAGAGUGUUUAAAGCAAGCUAACGCUUGAAUACAUUAGCAUGGAAUAAUGAAAUAGGACGUUCGAUCUUAUUUUGUUGGUUUCUAGGAUUGACGUAAUGAUUAAUAGGGAUAGUUGGGGGCAUUAGUAUUCAAUUGUCAGAGGUGAAAUUCUUGGAUUUAUUGAAGACUAACUACUGCGAAAGCAUUUGCCAAGGAUGUUUUCAUUAAUCAAGAACGAAAGUUAGGGGAUCGAAGACGAUCAGAUACCGUCGUAGUCUUAACCAUAAACUAUGCCGACUAGGGAU
RNAcentral lists this ribosomal RNA (715 nucleotides) under uncultured fungus. RNAcentral's name for it is "SSU rRNA". It matches the Rfam family "Eukaryotic small subunit ribosomal RNA", at positions 334 to 1053 of the family's 1831-position model. The record is from RNAcentral. Lineage: Eukaryota; Fungi.